UACGGAGGGUGCAAGCGUUAUCCGGAUUCACUGGGGUUAAAGGGUGCGUAGGUGGGUUGGUAAGUCAGUGGUGAAAUCCCCGAGCUUAACUUGGGAACUGCCAUUGAUACUAUCAGUCUUGAAUAUCGUGGAGGUCAGCGGAAUAUGUCAUGUAGCGGUGAAAUGCUUAGAUAUGACAUAGAACACCAAUUGCGAAGGCAGCUGGCUACACGGAUAUUGACACUGAGGCACGAAAGCGUGGGGAUCAAACAGG
This 253-nucleotide ribosomal RNA is filed under the name uncultured bacterium. Its description in RNAcentral is "partial 16S ribosomal RNA". It matches the Rfam family "Bacterial small subunit ribosomal RNA", at positions 524 to 776 of the family's 1533-position model. The record is from RNAcentral.